GGGAGGGGUACAAAUGGCGAGAGACAGGAGAAGCCAGGAGAAUGCACAGAGGAGAGCUGCUGUAAACAGUGCCUGGGCCAUGUUUAUCCAUGGCUCGUGGUCCCAAGAAGCAUCUAAAGCAGGUAGCAGCUCCAAAGCAUUGGAUGCUGGAUAAAUUGACUGGUGUGUUUGCUCCUCAUCCAUCCACCAGUCCCCACAAGUUGAGAGAGUGUCUCCCCCUCAUCAUUUUCAUAAGGAACAGACUUAAGUAUGCCCUGACAGGAGAGGAAGUAAAGAAGAUUUGCAUGCAGCGGUUCAUUAAGAUCGAUGGCAAGGUCCGCACUGAUAUAACCUACCCUGCUGGAUUCAUGGAUGUCAUCAGCAUUGACAAGAUGGGAGAGAAUUUCUGUCUGAUCUGUGACACCAAGGGUCACUUUGCUGUACAUCGUAUUACACCUGAGGAGGCCAAGUACAAGUUGUGAAAAGUGAGAAAAAAUAUUUGUGCGCACAAAAGGAAUCCCUCAUCUGGUGACUCAUGAUGCUCGUACCAUCUGCUACCCUGAUCCCCUCAUCAAGGUGAAUGACACCAUUCAGAUUGAUUUGGAGACUGGCAAGAUUACUGACUUCAUCAGGUUCGACACUGGUAACCUGUGUAUGGUGACUGGAGGUGCCAACCUGGGAAGAAUUGGUGUGAUCACCAACAGAGAGAGGCACCCUGGAUCUCUUGACGUGGUUCACAUGAAAGAUGCCAAUGGCAACAGCUUUGCCACUUGACUUUCCAACAUUUUUGUUGUUUGCAAGGGCAACAUACCAUGGAUUUCUCUUCCCCAAGGAAAAGGUAUCUGCCUCACCAUUGCUGAAGAGAGAGACAAGAGAUUGGCAACCAAUCAAAGCAGUGGGUAAAAUGGUCCCUGGAUGGCAUGUUAGAUCUUUGUAUGUAAUUAAAAAUAAUGUGGCAUGAUUGAUAGCCAAAAAUAAAAUAAUUAUUAUUAUUUUGUAAAGACAGGGUCUCAUUAAGUUUCCCAGGCUGGUCUCAAACUUCAGGCCUCAGGUAAUUCUCCUGCCUUGGCCUCCCAAAGUGCUGGGAUUACAGGCAUGAGCUAUCACGCCUGGCUCCUUGUGGAUUUUCUAUCUAGUAGUUCUAUCAAUUACUGAGAAAAGAGUGUUGAAGUCUCCAACUAUAAUAGUAGAUUUGUCAAUUUCUUCCUUUGGCUUUAUCAGUUUUUGCUUCAUGUAUUUGAAAGAUCUGUUUUUGGUGCAUACACACUUAGGUUUGCUAUCUCUUGUUGGUAGAUUGAUCUUGAUCUUUUAUCAUCAUGUAAAAUUCCUCUCCGUGUCUGGUAAUUUCUUUGCUCUGAAGUCUACCUUGAUAUUCAUAUAGCCACUCUUCCUUUUUAAAAUUUAAUACUUAUGUGAUAUAUCUUUUUCUAUGCUUUUACUUUUUACUUAGCUAUAUCAUUAUGUUUGAAUUGAGUUUUUUAUAGACAGCAUAACAUUGGGUAAUGUUUUUAAAUCUACUCAGCUAAUCUUGUCUCAUUUUUAAUUUAAAAAUUUUUUACACAUAAUAAUUGUAUGUAUUUAUGGAGUACAAUGUGAUGUUUUGAUACAUAAAUAUAUUGUGUGAUGAUCAAAUCAGGGUAAUUAGCAUAUCUAUCACCUCAUUUAUUAUUUAUUUGUUACAGGCACAUACAAAAUCCUCUUUUCUAGCUAUUUUGAGAUACUCUACUGUGCAAUAGGACAUCAGAACUUAUUCUUCCUUUCUAAUUAUAACUUUGUACCCAUUGCAAUCCUGUCUCUUAAUUAAUGUAUUUAGUCCGUUUACAUUUAAAGUGAUUAUUGACCUGUUAGAGUUUAAUUUGUUUACCAUUUGUUCCCUGUUUCUUGUUACCUGGUUAUCUUCCUUCUGCCUUCUCGUGGGUUACUUGAAUGUUUUUUAGAGUUCCACUUUGAUUUAUUUAUAUAUAUUUUUAGUAUACCAUUUUGUAUAGUUUUUGUAGUGGUCGUUCUAGCUACUAUUCUAUUCAUAUGUAAAUUAUCACAGCUUACUGGUGUCAAUGUCUUACCAUUUCCAUUGAAGGGUAGAAAGCUUACUUCCUUUUAAUUCCUUUAUCCUCCACACCUACAAAAAUAUAAUUGUCCUAGGUAUAACCUCUACAUACAUAUCAGAAAAUGUAUAACUUUUGCUUCAACCAUAAAUACGAUCAAAGAAACUAAUGAAUGGAUGUUGAAUAUUUACUUCUAUUUUUACUGAAAUGGAAUAAUAAAAGGCUGAAAAUCCCAGCCUUUUAUUAUCAUUGUCUUUCUGUUUUGAGGGAUUUUGUUAGCAAUUCUUUAAAGGUAGGUCUGCUAUCAACAACUUCUCUUAGUUUCUCUAUGCCUGAGACUGUCUUUUUUCCCCUUACAUUCCUGAAGAAUAGUUUCACCAUCUAUAUAAGAUUUAUGAUUGGGAGGUCUUUCUUGCAGCAUUUGGAAGAUAUGUCACUUCCUUCUGGACUCCACGGUUUCUGAUGAGGAACCUGUUCUUCACAUUGGGGUUCCUUUACAGGCCAUGUUUUGCUUCUCUCCAGCUGUG
Homo sapiens (human) is the source of this 2551-nucleotide long non-coding RNA. The record is from Ensembl. Lineage: Eukaryota; Metazoa; Chordata; Mammalia; Primates; Hominidae.